RNAcentral lists this long non-coding RNA (337 nucleotides) under Olea europaea (common olive). RNAcentral describes it as "long non-coding RNA (OEUR_LNC015308)". The record is from RNAcentral. Lineage: Eukaryota; Viridiplantae; Streptophyta; Magnoliopsida; Lamiales; Oleaceae.
AGUUAUUUUAGCACUUCGACUGAUUUGUCCGGAACUGCUACCAGAAAGGCUUUAUCUGCUCCUUCAAUCAUGUACUUCUCGCUGGCAAGACAAACAACAAAAGGGCGGCCACAGGCCAUUCUCCCGUACAUCUUCUCCUUGGCCAAUUUAGCUUCCGGCAUGCUCACGUAUUAUUAUGAUCCCCCGUCAGACUUGCAACCGUAGCCCGAAAAAUUUCCACUAACCCACAAGUUCCACAUGAACAACUACUCACAGACACAUCUAAUUGCUAUUUAACUACGAACAGAACAAUAACCUUAGCUGGAAAAAAUCUACUUUUGCUGUAUUUAACUUCCCC